Molecule: non-coding RNA, 72 nt
Organism: Xylariales sp. PMI_506
Lineage: Eukaryota; Fungi; Ascomycota; Sordariomycetes; Xylariales
Source: the annotation of a GenBank genome assembly
GGCGAACUAGUGUAAUGGUCAUCACAGCGGAUUCUGAUUCCGCUAAUCUGGGUUCGAUUCCCAGGUUUGCCU